AGCUGCUGCCGGUGGACCAUUAAACUCUUGUUAUUUUAUGUAAUCUGAGCGUCUUAUUUUAAUAAGUCAAAACUUUCAACAACGGAUCUCUUGGUUCUGGCAUCGAUGAAGAACGCAGCGAAAUGCGAUAAGUAAUGUGAAUUGCAGAAUUCAGUGAAUCAUCGAAUCUUUGAACGCACAUUGCGCCCAUUAGUAUUCUAGUGGGCAUGCCUGUUCGAGCGUCAUUUCAACCCUUAAGCCUAGCUUAGUGUUGGGAAUCUACUUCUUUAUAGUUGUAGUUCCUGAAAUACAACGGCGGAUUUGUAGUAUCCUCUGAGCGUAGUAAUUUUUUUCUCGCUUUUGUUAGGUGCUAUAACUCCCAGCCGCUAAACCCCCAAUUUUUUGUGGUUGACCUCGGAUCAGGUAGGAAUACCCGCUGAACUUAAGCAUAUCAAUAAGCG
RNAcentral lists this ribosomal RNA (440 nucleotides) under Pestalotiopsis sp. PSU-ES9. RNAcentral's name for it is "eukaryotic LSU rRNA". The stretch from base 71 to 224 matches the Rfam family "5.8S ribosomal RNA". Lineage: Eukaryota; Fungi; Ascomycota; Sordariomycetes; Amphisphaeriales; Sporocadaceae. The record is from RNAcentral.